Molecule: ribosomal RNA, 610 nt
Filed under: Fusicolla violacea
Lineage: Eukaryota; Fungi; Ascomycota; Sordariomycetes; Hypocreales; Nectriaceae
Description: SSU rRNA
Rfam family: Eukaryotic small subunit ribosomal RNA
Source: RNAcentral
CGUAGUUGAACCUUGGGCCUGGCUGGCCGGUCCGCCUCACCGCGUGUACUGGUCCGGCCGGGCCUUUCCCUCUGUGGAACCCCAUGCCCUUCACUGGGUGUGGCGGGGAAACAGGACUUUUACUGUGAAAAAAUUAGAGUGCUCCAGGCAGGCCUAUGCUCGAAUACAUUAGCAUGGAAUAAUAGAAUAGGACGUGUGGUUCUAUUUUGUUGGUUUCUAGGACCGCCGUAAUGAUUAAUAGGGACAGUCGGGGGCAUCAGUAUUCAAUUGUCAGAGGUGAAAUUCUUGGAUUUAUUGAAGACUAACUACUGCGAAAGCAUUUGCCAAGGAUGUUUUCAUUAAUCAGGAACGAAAGUUAGGGGAUCGAAGACGAUCAGAUACCGUCGUAGUCUUAACCAUAAACUAUGCCGACUAGGGAUCGGACGAUGUUAUUAUUUUGACUCGUUCGGCACCUUACGAGAAAUCAAAGUGCUUGGGCUCCAGGGGGAGUAUGGUCGCAAGGCUGAAACUUAAAGAAAUUGACGGAAGGGCACCACCAGGGGUGGAGCCUGCGGCUUAAUUUGACUCAACACGGGGAAACUCACCAGGUCCAGACACAAUAAGGAUUGAC